UACGGAGGAUGCAAGCGUUAUCCGGAUUUAUUGGGUUUAAAGGGUGCGCAGGUGGCUUUGUAAGUCAGUGGUGAAAGUCUGCCGCUUAACGGUAGGAUUGCCAUUGAUACUGCGGAGCUUGAGUUUGGAUGAGGUAGGCGGAAUGAGUAGUGUAGCGGUGAAAUGCAUAGAUAUUACUCAGAACACCGAUUGCGAAGGCAGCUUACUAAUCCACAACUGACACUGAGGCACGAAAGCGUGGGGAUCAAAC
Molecule: ribosomal RNA, 250 nt
Filed under: uncultured bacterium
Lineage: Bacteria
Also listed under: 1 other name
Description: partial 16S ribosomal RNA
Rfam family: Bacterial small subunit ribosomal RNA
Source: RNAcentral